Rhododendron vialii is the source of this 3790-nucleotide long non-coding RNA. RefSeq lists it as uncharacterized. Lineage: Eukaryota; Viridiplantae; Streptophyta; Magnoliopsida; Ericales; Ericaceae. The record is from RefSeq and is a predicted model, not a curated record. The transcript has 2 exons.
UUUUUUUUUCUCUCUUUUUCUCUCUCGGCUAUCUCUCUCUCCUCCUCUCCUCCGAAAAACUCCCUCUUCUCUUCUCUCUUCGAUUUCAUCUACUUAGGGUGUGAUUCCGGACAAGGCCAGAGAAUUAAAGUUGUUAUACGGAGCACGAGCUUUCCAAAUAUCCAAGAAAAUUCAUGAUCGGACCUCGUUAGAGCUUGGUUGACUCGGUCAAAGGCUCGGAUUUUGCUCAAAACCCAUGAGGUUCAUUGCAGGUCAUGGUCAUGGUCAUGGAGUACUUGGAGUGCAUGCUGACAUUAUCGAUUAAAGCUAUUUUGGAGAGCACUUUAUUUUUCUUGUUUAACAAACGACUUUGUUAUGAAAUUCCUACUUUGAAAGAUUGUAUUUGUAGACCAAUUUAUGGAAUCGGAAACUGUAUUGUAUUUUGGGGUAUUGUACGUACGAUUGUGAGGACUUUGUAUUUCAAAUGGUAUUGUUAAUUUAUGUUGAAAAUCGAGGGCGUGACAACUUGGUAUCAGAGCAUUAGGUUUGAAUACCUAGAGACCGUGGGGAGACUUAGUCUCAGGGGUUCAAAAAAAAAAAGUCAUUGCAUAUUUUUAACAAAACAUGAGUGUGCUUGCCUGACUGAUGUGUGUUCAUUGAUGUGGCAUUGCAUCUGUGUUUAUGCGAAUUGGUGGAAUGUGGUUGACUCAUGUAAAAAAAGAAAAAGAAGAAGAAGAAGAGAAGUUUGACCUCUUUGUAGUGACUACGGUUGCGAAGUUACUGUUAUUAGUUUUGAUCUUGAGCCGUUUGUGGUAAGGUAUCCUUUCAGAUGAGAUGUUAGACAAAAAAAAAAAAAUUUGAAAAGUCGAGAUUGUUGUAGUGGUUAUGCGUAGUGGCGAGGUUGAAAUGUGAAAGAUGAUAUCCGUUAGUAUGUAAAAGAAGUGUUGUAUUGUUAACAAGGUUUGUGAGCUAAAUACUUGAUGCGUUUUAUUUGAAUUGUGUAGAUUAUGUGUUAAGUUUAAAUACCUUAAGUAAUUUUCAUGUGAUGCGAGGUGUAUCAUAGCUAAAGGAUUGAACUAGUGAGUGUCUUGAAUGUAUGAAGAGAUGAUGUCUUGUUGUGGUAAUGAUUGUGUUUAUUAUUGUUAUGGUAGUUAUAGGGGUAGUGGUUUUAAGAAUAGGUAAGACAGGUGGAACCCUUGUAAGUAUCUGAGAUUGACUUAGGAAGAUGAGAGUUGUAGGUAGGGUGUUUAGAAACAGUAUGUGUCUUCUGGACACCCAGGCGACUACCGAAGAGAUCCAGUUGGAAGAGGCGCUUGAUCACCGCUCCUUCUAGAUGGAAGUCUCGGGAAGUCAAUCGGAUACUAGGUUUAUAUUAAGGGGUAAGAUCUCUAGGCUUGAGGCAGAUAACUAUAUAUAGAAAUUUCGUAGAAAAAUGAUGUGCUGUGGUGUUGUCGUAGUCAUUGUGGUGAUUGCCGUAGCGGUAGUGUUAUGAGGGGUCGAUAGGAGAAUAUUAGUUGUGUUAUUCGGAGAUAGGGAAAAUAAGACACAAGGAGAAAGAUAGUGAUGUGAUUUAAGUCAAGUGGUCAAUGUAAGGCAAAGUAAGAAAAUUGUUUGAAGUAAAGGCGAUAUAAGGGUGAACUGUUAAGGCUAAUAAUGAAGUGGAGUGUAGUUGGCAUCCUUAGUUGGAAUGGUGUGAAAUUCAUGGCAAGUGAGACUAUUAGAAGUUCUUGGUGCGAGUGAAAUUGAUUCUUGAGUAAUGAGGUAGUACGAGUCUUAGAAUAUAAAGAGGAAUAUAGACAUGUUAUUUGUAACCCCAGAGUCUUGUUAGUGUUUAGAAGAGGUUUAUCAAUUUGUUUGUAUUUAUAUUGGUGUUUAAAAUUUUAGUAUCGAGAAAAUCAAUAGCAGUAAAAGUUUAUUAGUGCAACUAUUGCAUACAUUGUGUAGGUAUUUGGGCGAUGAAAUAUCGUGUGAUUGUAAAGUUGAUAGAGAAAUGAUUAAUAUUGAUGUUGCGUAUUUGUUACAUGAUAUUCGAGAUUGUGAAAAUGGGAAACAUGUGACUUGAGUAGGCUAAUUGACGAGAGUGUUCGAGAUUGAUGGGUAAACAGAAAAUGUGAAAGGUAUCGUGAAGUUGAAAGGAACGAGAUUACCAUUGGGCUUUCUAGAGUGAUGAAAUGUGAAGUGAUGGAUACUUUGUGAGUCCGAUGGACACUUUGUGAGUCCGAUGGAUACUUUGUGAGUCCGAUGGACACUUUGUGAGGUUGUUGGAUACUUUGUGAGUCCGUGGAUGCUUUGUGAGACUGAUGGAUACUUUGUGAGUCCGAUGGACACUUUGUGAGUUCGAUGGAUACUUUGUGAGUCCGAUGGACACUUUGUGAGGUUGUUGGAUACUUUGUGAGUCCGUGGAUGCUUUGUGAGACUGAUGGAUACUUUGUGAGUCCGAUGGACACUUUGUGAGUUCGAUGGAUACUUUGUGAGUCCGAUGGACACUUUGUGAGGUUGUUGGAUACUUUGUGAGUCCGUGGAUGCUUUGUGAGACUGAUGGAUACUUUGUGAGUCCGAUGGGCACUUUAUGAGACCGCUGGAUACUUUGUGAGUCUGAUUGACACUUUGUGAGAUUGCUGGAUACUUGGUGAGUCCGUUGGAUACUUUGUGAGUUGGUGAAUCUGCUGGAUACUGAGUGAGCCUGUUAAUGCGUGGAUGUGUCUGGCAUUGUGUAAGCUAUUAAAUUGCAUUGUGGGUUUGUUGAAAUAUUUCGUGAAUGAAAUGUGCUGUUGUUUAGUUCUAACCUACAUAUUUGAUUUAUUAUGUAAUCUCAAUGCGUGAAAUUUGCUUUAAGUAUAUGAUGUAGAAUAAACAGUGAUGCUUAUGUGGGUAGUUGCUAUGAGUGUAUGCCUUUCUUGAGUAGCAACAACGAUGUUUGGAGAAUUGGGUUUAAGGAAAUAGUGGAUUGAUAGUUUACCAGAAUGGUUUUAAUGUGUCUUGUGAAGAGUUAUGUAAAAGGGACGCGUUACAAUAGGGGAGAGUUUGGAUUUUCGAAAAUAGAAACCGAUAGUGAUUCAGAGUGGGCUAGAGAAUAUGAAGUAGUGUUGAACUCUUAGUUGUGUUUGAGUGUUAAAUGGCCGAAAAAAAAAAAAUGUUUGAGAUUUGUGCAGAGUCGAUAUAAAAGUUGUGUUGGUAAACAGAAAUGUGAGUCAGAGAUAAAGGUUGAUGAUUUUGUGUUAGGUGUGUUUCGUCGUACCAAGGGAGGUGAACCCUGUCUUUGAGAAAGGGAAGUGAGUAGCGAGGUGCGUGAAAUAAUUUGAGAUUGUUAAAGAGAAUAAUGCAACUAUCUAUUAUCAAUGGUAUUGAUAGAAUUGAAUCAAUUGUGGGGUGUGUUUAUUUUAUUUUAUUUUUAUUUUUGGAGACGAAAGAUGUAUUAAUAGCUUUGAAAUGUGAGACGUUCAACGAGGGUGAGUUGGUGUUAAAAUUGAGCAAAUGGUGAUGAUCGUUAUGUAGUGAUUGAGUUUUGGGUUUCUUGGUUUUAUUACAGUGGAGAGUAUUUGGGUAUUCAAAAAAAAAUAUUGAUGGAUUGAUCUAUCAGUUGGUAUUGGGAAAAUGAAGCUUAUGAGUAUUAGAAUUAUAGUUAUUAUAAGCAGUUUAGUAUGUCCUUCUGGGAAGUUCAAGAGAUACUUAGUGGAAUAAACUGAAAAGAAUGAGAAUGAGGAAUUCUAGAGUUCGACGAACGUGAGAUUAUAAACUGUUGAAUCUCGGUGGGAUUGUCAUGAAGAUAUGUGGGGACUAGUAUUUUGGUAUAGAUGUUAGGAUUUGAAAA